Molecule: ribosomal RNA, 434 nt
Filed under: uncultured bacterium
Lineage: Bacteria
Description: partial 16S ribosomal RNA
Rfam family: Bacterial small subunit ribosomal RNA
Source: RNAcentral
AGCGAACGCUGGCGGCAGGCCUAACACAUGCAAGUCGAACGAACCUUUCGGGGUUAGUGGCGGACGGGUGAGUAACACGUGGGAACGUGCCUUUAGGUUCGGAAUAGCUCAGGGAAACUUGUGCUAAUACCGAAUGUGCCCUUCGGGGGAAAGAUUAAUCGCCUUUAGAGCGGCCCGCGUCUGAUUAGCUAGUUGGUUGAGGUAAUGGCUCACCAAGGCGACGAUCAGUAGCUGGUCUGAGAGGAUGAUCAGCCACAUUGGGACUGAGACACGGCCCAAACUCCUACGGGAGGCAGCAGUGGGGAAUCUUGCGCAAUGGGCGAAAGCCUGACGCAGCCAUGCCGCGUGAAUGAUGAAGGUCUUAGGAUUGUAAAAUUCUUUCACCGGGGACGAUAAUGACGGUACCCGGAGAAGAAGCCCCGGCUAACUUCGUG